CAACAGUCUGGAGGGACAGUGAACGCUGAAGGAUCCCUCUAAACUGCUCAUUUAACUGGCGACUUGGCUUGGUGCCCGCAGCUUACAGGUGUUGGGGGUGCGGGUAGAUGGCUGAAACCUUGGGCCAGGUUUUGUGUUUUUGCUGUAUCAGAGGAAGUAGUUGCCUUCUGUUAUUCAUUUACUUGUUGGAACAUGUUUGUGUGUUUGAAAGUGGUUUUGGUUGUAUCUAGUUUCUUGGAGUAUUUGAUAGAAGAGUAGAGACAGAAAUAUUAUGUUUACUUUCAAGUUCCCAAAGGGGAGGUGGGGAAGAGCUUGAAAGAGAAGCUGACAUACGUUGUUUCCAUUAUGUAUCCUAAGAGUCGUGACCUGUGUCAGUUAUAAUAUUUUUAAUUUAGGUAACUAAUGAAAUUGGGGUGCAGUCCAGGAGGCUAUUCUUGUUCCUCCUGUGGCAAGCACAAAAAGUAGAUAUAUUAGGAAAACUAAACCAUUCUCACUUUGAAGUUCAGCAUUGCAGAAGAAUGUGAAUUAAUUGUAAGAGUGAUUUCAGAAUAAGUUUAUACUAAGAUUUUUUUUAAAGUUGAUCUAGCAGUAGACUAGUUGGGUUUAUUGUGAAUUGCUUGUGUGACUUCUGAAUCACUCAUAAGAAUCGCGGUAAUAUAAUGCAUAAGCAGUUAAACUUGAGUUCACUCUGACAAAGCAUAAGUGGCUAUAGUGUAUUUCAGCGAGUGUUUGGAAACUGCAAAUCUCUUCAGUAGAAUGUGUUUUAAAGAGCCUUUUAAAACUUGAGUGCUAUCUUUUGAUGAUACUCUUUCUGUUAUCUUUUCAGGGAAACUACUGGAUAUACAAAUUAGAAUGUGGAACUAUUGCAGCAGAGUGCCUUUUUAACUUUCAUGUUUUUUCUACUGGUUUUUGGAAUACAGAAGUUGUCAUCCUAGUUGAACUGUGGCUAGCGUGCUGCACAGGGAAUGAAAGUAGAGCUAAAGGUGAUGUUUUCUUCAGUGUAAGCCUUUGGUUUCUCUAGUGGUUGCAGUAACUAAAAGUAGAAACCCAUGUUUGUCAGCUAGAUUCAGCGGUGGGUUUUGGAUUUUUUUUUUCCUGUUUGUUUUCAGAGAAGGUGAGGUAUUUCUCCGCAAUAUGUAGAAAUAGUUUUUCUUGCUUGCCAUUCAGAAAGUUGAAGCCAAGGCCUUCAGAAAGUGAAUGACAAGGAAUUAACUUCCAAAUAUCUCAAGCCAGCCAGCCUUACCUUCUUAGUAUUCUUAUUUAGACAAAGCCUUGUUUGCUUGAAAGAUCACCUACUUCAGUGUUUUCUGGCAGUCUUUUUGCAAAUGCUUACUGCAUCAUAAAGUCACUUAAAUUUUUGAAAGAAGAAAAGUAGUUCUAUAUCUUAAGUACAAAGCUUAAAAUCUUUGUUCUGUGUGCUUUUAAGUUAUACAAUGGGAAAUGAUUACAAUCUAAUUGAAGUAUAGUGCUAGCAGGCAAGUUAAUGUCUGAAAAGGAAAAAGUGUUUUUUUUAACUAUUUUGAAUGGCCAUUAAUAAGGGAAGCAUAAUAAAGCAACCAAACUGUGUGGGGUAUGUAUACA
RNAcentral lists this long non-coding RNA (1581 nucleotides) under Struthio camelus australis. RNAcentral describes it as "lncRNA (ENSSCUG00000003084.1)". Lineage: Eukaryota; Metazoa; Chordata; Aves; Struthioniformes; Struthionidae. The record is from RNAcentral.